Molecule: ribosomal RNA, 484 nt
Filed under: Escherichia coli
Lineage: Bacteria; Pseudomonadati; Pseudomonadota; Gammaproteobacteria; Enterobacterales; Enterobacteriaceae
Description: partial 23S ribosomal RNA
Rfam family: Bacterial large subunit ribosomal RNA
Source: RNAcentral
GGUUAAGCGACUAAGCGUACACGGUGGAUGCCCUGGCAGUCAGAGGCGAUGAAGGACGUGCUAAUCUGCGAUAAGCGUCGGUAAGGUGAUAUGAACCGUUAUAACCGGCGAUUUCCGAAUGGGGAAACCCAGUGUGUUUCGACACACUAUCAUUAACUGAAUCCAUAGGUUAAUGAGGCGAACCGGGGGAACUGAAACAUCUAAGUACCCCGAGGAAAAGAAAUCAACCGAGAUUCUCCCAGUAGCGGCGAGCGAACGGGGAGCAGCCCAGAGCCUGAAUCAGUGUGUGUGUUAGUGGAAGCGUCUGGAAAGGCGCGCGAUACAGGGUGACAGCCCCGUACACAAAAAUGCACAUGCUGUGAGCUCGAUGAGUAGGGCGGGACACGUGGUAUCCUGUCUGAAUAUGGGGGGACCAUCCUCCAAGGCUAAAUACUCCUGACUGACCGAUAGUGAACCAGUACCGUGAGGGAAAGGCGAAAAGAAC